CGAGACCUCAGGUCAGGCGGGGCUACCCGCUGAAUUUAAGCAUAUCAAUAA
RNAcentral lists this ribosomal RNA (51 nucleotides) under Astragalus glycyphyllos. RNAcentral's name for it is "partial 25S ribosomal RNA". Lineage: Eukaryota; Viridiplantae; Streptophyta; Magnoliopsida; Fabales; Fabaceae. The record is from RNAcentral.